CAGGGGUUACUCAAGGAAAAUGCAAAUGGUAGCAAAUAUUGGGCAUAUGGAGGUGACUUUGGAGAUACACCAAAUGACUUAAAUUUCUGCUUAAAUGGUCUCAUAUGGCCUGAUCGGACUCCUCAUCUUGCUCUAAAUGAGGUCAUGUAUUGCUAUCAACCAAUUAAAAUUUCGUUCACCAAUGGCGUAAUUAAGAUUACAAACACCAAUUUCUUUCAAACAACAGAAGAUCUAGAGUUUAAUUGGGUUAUUGAAGGUGAUGGAUGUAAACUUGAUUCUGGAACUCCCAGUCUACCAACAUUAGAGUUUAAUUGGGUGAUUGAAGGUGAUUUUGGUUCUUGAAACGAGCUAGACUCAAGAUAUCAUAUUUUGGCAUGGCUAGAAGCUUUAGAGGAAACGAGACUC
This is a non-coding RNA of Lactuca sativa (garden lettuce), 405 nucleotides long. Lineage: Eukaryota; Viridiplantae; Streptophyta; Magnoliopsida; Asterales; Asteraceae. The record is from RefSeq and is a predicted model, not a curated record.